Paramisgurnus dabryanus is the source of this 709-nucleotide long non-coding RNA. RefSeq lists it as uncharacterized. The record is from RefSeq and is a predicted model, not a curated record. NCBI's taxonomy places the organism in Eukaryota, Metazoa, Chordata, Actinopteri, Cypriniformes, Cobitidae.
GCUAAAUUUUGUCACGCAAAAUAAAUGGCUACCCAUCAAGGGUCCACAGGGGUCCUUUGCGCUGAGUGUGAAUUGUGCGCGUGCAUUUAUUUUGAGUCUGAAGGGAACGUUGUUGAUCUCGAAUUUUAAUUCAGAGAUCUUUAAUUUAUUCAAUAUAGUACGUAAAAAUAUUACACUAAAAUAAUACGUACGUUGUCUCUUGUAGUAAUUUAAUAGUUUACGUAAAGUGUCGUAUAUAAAUAAUGGCAACUCCACGUAAAUCUGUUUACAUACCGCGGUUCGGCUCACAGUCGUCCCAAUCCCAAACCGACAACAAAGUAACUCCUAGCGGGAGAAUCUGCAGAUUAAGCAAGAGUAUGAAAAGGGUGACUUGUGUGUCGAGUUCCCUAACCGUGUCAAACGUCAAAAGUCCUGAAAUAACGCCAUGUUGUUCAAAAAUAGCGAAAACAAACUACCUUUUGAGGUUUUAUUGGUCAUCCAAGGCGAACAGAAAGCCCGUCGAGAAAUCAACAGAUACUCCGAUGACAUCUACCGGCGAGAAAUCACAGCGCGUUAAAGACCCUGAUCAUAGUAAAGAAGAGUCCUCGUCUGAUUAUUUUGAAUUUCCACAUGAAAAUGCUCAAGCAACAGAUGAAAAGUCCCGAAUCAAACAGGAAGUGUUGAAGACAAUAGGGAGAAUGAUAGAGGAGAACAGGGUCAUCAGACAGAG